This 914-nucleotide ribosomal RNA is filed under the name Spirochaetaceae bacterium enrichment culture clone B6_77. Its description in RNAcentral is "bacterial SSU rRNA". It matches the Rfam family "Bacterial small subunit ribosomal RNA", at positions 8 to 916 of the family's 1533-position model. The record is from RNAcentral. Lineage: Bacteria; Pseudomonadati; Spirochaetota; Spirochaetia; Spirochaetales; Spirochaetaceae.
AGAGUUUGAUCAUGGCUCAGAACAAACGCUGGCGGCGUGUCUUAAGCAUGCAAGUUGAGCGGCAAGGGGGAGCGAUCCCCCCUAGAGCGGCGGACUGGUGAGUAACACGUGGAUGAUCUACCCGAGGCAUGGGGAUAGUCACUAGAAAUAGUGGGUAAUACCGAAUACGGUGCGCAUCGUGAGGGUGCGCAAGAAAGGUGCUACGGCACCGGCCUAGGAUGAGUCUGCGUCCCAUUAGCUGGUUGGUGAGGUAAGAGCCCACCAAGGCGAUGAUGGGUAGCCGGCCUGAGAGGGUGUACGGUCACACUGGGACUGAGAUACGGCCCAGACUCCUACGGGAGGCAGCAGCUAAGAAUAUUCCGCAAUGGACGAAAGUCUGACGGAGCGACGCCGCGUGGAUGAAGAAGGCCGAAAGGUUGUAAAGUUCUUUUGUUGGGGAAGAAUAACCAUGGGAGGGAAUGCCCGUGGGAUGACAUGAACCGACGAAUAAGCCCCGGCUAACUACGUGCCAGCAGCCGCGGUAACACGUAGGGGGCGAGCGUUGUUCGGAAUUACUGGGCGUAAAGGGCAUGUAGGCGGUCUUGUAAGCUUGGCGUGAAAGACCACGGCUCAACCGUGGGAUUGCGUUGAGAACUGCGAGGCUUGAGUGACGGAGAGGGAGCUAGAAUUCCUGGUGUAGGGGUGGAAUCUGUAGAGAUCAGGAAGAAUACCAAUGGCGAAGGCAAGCUCCUGGCCGAUGACUGACGCUGAGGUGCGAAAGUGUGGGGAUCAAACAGGAUUAGAUACCCUGGUAGUCCACACUGUAAACGAUGUGCACUAGGUGCUGGUACGGAUGUAUCAGUGCCGUAGCUAACGUGAUAAGUGCACCGCCUGGGGAGUAUGCUCGCAAGGGUGAAACUCAAAUGAAUUGACGG